GACGAACGCUGGCGGCGUGCCUAAUACAUGCAAGUAGAACGCUGAAGGAGGAGCUUGCUUCUCUGGAUGAGUUGCGAACGGGUGAGUAACGCGUAGGUAACCUGCCUGGUAGCGGGGGAUAACUAUUGGAAACGAUAGCUAAUACCGCAUAAUAGUAGAUGUCGCAUGACAUUUGCUUAAAAGGUGCAAUUGCAUCACUACCAGAUGGACCUGCGUUGUAUUAGCUAGUUGGUGAGGUAACGGCUCACCAAGGCAACGAUACAUAGCCGACCUGAGAGGGUGAUCGGCCAAACUGGGACUGAGACACGGCCCAGACUCCUACGGGAGGCAGCAGUAGGGAAUCUUCGGCAAUGGACGGAAGUCUGACCGAGCAACGCCGCGUGAGUGAAGAAGGUUUUCGGAUCGUAAAGCUCUGUUGUAAGAGAAGAACGAGUGUGAGAGUGGAAAGUUCACACUGUGACGGUAUCUUACCAGAAAGGGACGGCUAACUACGUG
Molecule: ribosomal RNA, 495 nt
Filed under: uncultured bacterium
Lineage: Bacteria
Description: partial 16S ribosomal RNA
Rfam family: Bacterial small subunit ribosomal RNA
Source: RNAcentral